UACGGAGGGUGCGAGCGUUAAUCGGAAUUACUGGGCGUAAAGGGCGCGUAGGCGGUGGGUUACGUCUGCCGUGAAAUCCCCGGGCUCAGCCUGGGAAUGGCGGUGGAAACGGGGUGGCUGGAGUAUGGGAGAGGGUGAUGGAAUUCCCGGUGUAGCGGUGAAAUGCGUAGAGAUCUGGAGGAACACCAGUGGCGAAGGCGGUCACCUGGCCCAAUACUGACGCUGAGGCGCGAAAGCGUGGGGAGCAAACAGG
RNAcentral lists this ribosomal RNA (253 nucleotides) under uncultured bacterium. RNAcentral's name for it is "partial 16S ribosomal RNA". It matches the Rfam family "Bacterial small subunit ribosomal RNA", at positions 524 to 776 of the family's 1533-position model. The record is from RNAcentral.